AGGAGAGGGCUUCCGUUUCCGGGCCCCGCCAGAACACCCCAGCAGGUGUCAGGGACAGGGCAGUAUUCCAGCUUCAGCCUGUCUACCUCUGGAGCUCUCCUGAUCAAUACAUCAGAGAAGAUGAUGGAGCCCUCCUGCCGCUCUUGGGGAGAGUUGCGUCGCUGCUGUCAUCGAUGCCGUGCUGGACCUCACAGCGAUAGAUACCUGAGUCGUUGGGGCGCAGCUCGCUCAGCGCCAGGGAGACAUCGGUGAGCGACGCUGGGUACGCAGGCAGUGCCACGCGGAACCGGUAGGCCUCGUUCACCUUGACGCGCACUCCCCGCGCCACCAGCACCUCUGCCUCCCGGCCCCCGGACAGGAAAGUCCACUUGACCCGCGGAGAGCCCAGCACAGCCCGGCGGCUCGGCGGUGGCCGCAGGUAGUGGACGUGGCAAGGGAUGGUGAGGGCGCCGCCGAGCACGCCCUGCAGUGGUGCGUCGCCCGCGAUGCGCACGCGAAAAGCGCGGUCCUCUGUGAACGGGUGGAGCCGGCUGGAACUUAACGCUGUCGACCCUCAGAGUCCCACCCGGUGGCCUCCAAGCCCCGCUCCAGGAUCCCUCCUUCCGGCCCCAGGAUUCCCCGGCCCCCCUAGGACCAGGGGCCAGGGGCCAGGGUCCAGGGUCCUGCAGCCCUACCUCUAGGUCCUCCAGGACCACCCCGACGGUCUCCAGACCCAUCCCCCAAAGUCUCCCAGUCAAUUCAGCCCCCAGGAUUCCUUGCCCUGCUCUCAGAGUCUUCCACUUCCUCUCCAAAAUUCCUAGACCACACCCCAGGGUCCUCCAACCUCGCCCCCUGAGUCCUCCAGCCCAGUUUCCCAGUCUGCUCCCUUUAGGGCCUCCUUCAGGGUUUCUCCCAGUUCCACCCCUUUCCCACCUCCUAGCUUCAGGAUCCCCUAUCCUCCACCUUAGGGGCCCAAAGCCUUGCACCCAGUGCCCUUCCCUAGUCCUGCCCCGUGAUUUCUCCAACCCACCUCACAGCUCAGCCCUUAUUUCCAAGUGUUCCAGCCUGGAUGCUUCCCCACAGCCCUCCAAUUCUCUCUCUUCCUGGGGCCCCUAAGCCUGGAAGCAGUUGGUUAGGGCUGAACAAGACAGAGACGGUGACCCCAAGUGGGGUUGCUUACCUGAGCUGUCUCCUUCCAGAACAUCUGCUAAAGCUGCAGGAGCCUGGGCCAGGACCAGGGCUGCCAGCAGGGGCAGGAAGAGCUGGGCCAUGCUGCAGGCUGACAGAGGGACAUGAGAAGGAAAGAUGGGGUUAGACUUCAGGAUGGACUUCCCCCCUGCUCCCUACCACACCCAUGUGGGUUCACACAUAUCCUGGCUUCAGAAGUCCCCUACCUUCACAUCACCAUGGACUCUCUGUUUCUGAUCCCCAUCUUCCCAGCAAGUGAUUUCUUCUCAGAUCCAAAACCCGAGUCCUAGUCAACUCACUGUGUGACCUAAGCCAAGCUCCUUACCUUCUCUGAGCCUUUAUUUUCUUACUUAUAAAAAAGCAUCAUCAUUACUAUCUCAUGAGUUGAGAUAGGACCAUGUGCUUUGAGAGUGUUUAGUAUCUUAAAAAUCCUGUACAAAUGCAUAGCACCAGGCAGACAGUAGGAGCUCAGUUUAUAGCAUGAAUGGUGGGUGCUUUUAUACUCAGAAUUCCAUCUGCUCCUCCCAGUGCCAGACUCCUUCCUCGAACCCAGAGCCUUCUCCCAUAGUAUCUCUUUAGCCUCUUCUGCCUUCUAGACUGUCCCUGCCUCCAGGGACACCAUACUCACCUGGCCUUUUCCAGGAGGGCCUCCUAGACUGAACGCAAGUAAGCACAGCUUCUCCUGAGCCCACCCUCUCCUCUACUUCCUCCCCACCAUUAUGUGUAAGGAAACUCUUCUCUUUACUCCCCAACAUUCUCCAUCCCCCUUCCUUGGCUGCCUCCUCCCUUCUUCUUCCCAGCCUCUCCUUUCUGCCUGGCACGGGCUUUCCCACCGGAACUCUUGGCUCAGAAAUCAGUUGGGACAAAGCCCCUGUCUCUGCCAGUCUGGCCUCUAUCCAGCCCCUCCCUUCCCCCACCCUACCUUUUGUGAAAGCCUUGGGCUGGAGGGUGGACUAAGGGGGGUGAGAAUAAAUGGGAGGGGCUACCCCUUCCUACCCCUGGCUAUCAGAAGCUCUAGAACCCAGAAUAUUCCUCCAAAGAUCUCGAAGCACUUACACUCUCAUAAAAAGGAUGUGUUGUGACAUUGAGAAAUGGAGACUGAGGCUCAGAGAAGGAUAGGGCUGACCCUGGAUCCCUAGUAAAGCCAAGUCAGGCACGAGGGCAAUGUGCUCCCAGGAGAGAAGACUCAGAGCUACAUCAUCUUGAAGGGUUGGGCUAAACUUAGAAGAGCAUGGAGAUCCAGGUAUGCCAUGGAAUAGGCCAAUGAUGCAGCAAGAGAAUUGAAGGUUAGACUACAGGCAGGACUUCCUAGAGAUCAGGUUUAUUCCACUGGCUGGGCACUCCCAUUCCAGGCCCACUGUUUAUCCCCCAUCUUCCCUGCCCUCUCAGCGUCUGCCUUCAUACCUGUCCCUGCACUUUCCUAAGCCUGAGAUGAUGGGAAAUUUCCUACUUUUCCCAGAUCCUCCCACCUCCCUGCCAUCAUAACCCCCAUCUCCCCCACUGUGUCUGGAUAUCAUUCCCUAGGGUCAGAGUUGGGAGAGGAGUGGCACAACCAGAUGCUUAGGGCCUCUCUCUGACCUUUCAGAGGGACGAGGUUCUUGAUGGGGCCAGAUUAGAGGUGGGGAGACCAGCUCCAGGCAUCGGGGUGCUUGGGAGGACUGUUCUGGGGCUGGAGUGGGGACCAUUGGGCAGGAGCAGCCAGUGCCCACCGGGUGCUGGGAAGACUGUUUGCCAUGCAUCUGAGCUGUGCCAGGGCCUGGGCCUGGCCCCCUUCUGGUGCCCUCCCUCCCUUCUCUCUGGGCUGGAGCUGGAGCUGCUCACAGACCUGGCUCCCAUCUCUCUGACGGGCAGCCCAGAGACCCAUAUAGUUGGAGUCAUUUUGGGGCCAACACCCUGGACCACCCUUUCACCUCUGUCUGACAGUGGGAGAGUGAGGGAAGAGGGCCUAAGGCCAGUGAGGACCUAACUGCUCUGGAACAUGGAGGGCAACCUACCCUUGACCCCAAAAAUGGGAGUCAUUGACCAGUGAGGCCAAGAGGGUAGCCCCGUGCAGUUCUGAGAGAGCUCUGUCUCUCCAGUCUCGGGCCUCAGCCUCCCAAUUGCAGCUAGGAGCCCUGAGGAAACUCAGACUUCCCCACAUCUGGUACCAGCCUCGGAACCCAGGGGUCCAGGGUUCUGUGGCCUUCUCUAUCCCACACACCACUCAUCUCCACUUCCUCUUCUCUUCCUCCAGAGCAGGCCACACCUCUCCAACUCUAACCCUGAGAGCUCAGCAGUCAUGCGGUCCGUUCCCUUGACGCCACAACAUCCCCCUCUCUGUUUCAGCUCCAGCGUCUGUAUCUCUGCCCUUGUUUUGAAUUUCUUGAGCUGUUCAGGAAACUUUCCUCUUGUCACAUCAUUUCUGUCUGACCCUGGAUGUCCAUCUCCUUCACAGUCUUCAUAGACCCAACCCAGAGAGUUAAGACCAGGUCUCUCUCUCUCUCUCUCUCUCUCUGUGUGUGUGUGUGUGUGUGUGUGUAGGCAUGCACGUGUGUACACACAUCUAACAACACCCACCACCUCCAUGCUGAAUGCCCAUCAGCCGGCAGCCAAGGUCUGUCCCAUAGGAACUGAGCUCCAGCACUCAGCAGGGUCAGCAGGGAGGCACAAGAAGCCAGAGCUUUGGCUAUAGCAGGAGGGAAGCUCUCUGCUACCCCCUUAACGGCUUCAUGAGGAGCAACAUGAGCCUACACAAUAUAAGCAGGGCCUUAGGGCCUGUAGGAGUAAUUGCAAUCAUCAUAUAAAUAGUCCUUUUUAUUGGAAGCAAAACUAAUAAUACUAUUAGCAAUGACACCAGCCGAGCAGUUGCAGAUCCCUCUCGUAAAGAAUCUGAAAUGUGGAUGAUGCUGUUAUAAAUAGCAAAGUUAGCCAUAGCAACAUAGGCACUGGUAAUACUGUGGGUGGGUCUAAGGGUAACACUGUUCCCUGAUCUUACUGUCAUCAUCUGCAAUCUAAGUAAUGCAGAUAAUAAUGGUGCCCCUUGGACUUGACGCCAAUCUCUUGGUCCUAUUAGAACCAUGUAGGCAGAGCUAUUCCAAUAGGUGGGGGAAUACCUGACAGGAUAUGGAAAUACCUGGGAGAGGGAAUUCCCAGGCCCCUGGCAGUGCUAGGAAGGAAUGCAAUAGUGGUAACCGAAUUCCAGCUAAUAGUUACUGAUGUCUACCUGAGCCAGUUCUCCUAAAUGCUUCCUGUGGAUAACCUCAACUGUGAGAAAAAGAUUGUUUAUGUUUUGCUCAUGACACCGAUGAGGAACCCGAGGUUCAGAGAAGUCAACUAACUACCCCAAGGUCACAGAGCAAGGAGCCGAGUUGGGAUUCCAGCCGAAAUGGGCACCCCGACCACCCCCUAGAGCGGCUCUGAUCGGCUGUCCUGCCGGACUACAGUAAGGUGUCCCCAGAAGGGUUGCUGGCCGCUGCUCCUGGAGCUGCCAGUGCGUGGGGGCACGGAGGCAAGGACUGAUCCGGAACGCUACCGCCCUGCCUGGGACAAGGUCGGAAAUCUCGGCGGCCGCGCUGGGACAGGAGCGCGCAGCAGGGAAGACGCGAGGACCCGAGGGGUUGCUGAUCAGACUGCGAGCAGCAGGGGGGCUGCCACUGGCAGAGCUGGAAGCAUGUAGAUCAGAGAUGGCAGCAGCAGCUGCAGGCGCUCGGGGCUGUCCGGCAGCCUACCCCGCUGCGGUGUCAGGAGUCGACGAGUUGGGUGCCCCAGAGCCUCGAGGCAAGGGCUGACAGGCGGGGGGCGCAGACCAGGCAGGCACUCCCUUCUCCCUGUCCCCGACCCCACGGCGGGCGGCGGGGCUGCGGAGGCACUCACCUACCCAGGGCUGGGGUUGGGUCGCGGCACUGCGAAGUUUGUCGCCUCCUCCGGGGGUCUCCUCCGGGUGCACGGCUCAGUCCUGCAGCUGCAGCUGAGACUGCGGCGGAGACUGCGCGAGCGUGAGGAGAGGCUGGGGCCGCAGGACAUUCGGAAGAGGGCGCCGGCCCUCCCGGCGCAGCACAAAACCCCCUUUCUUCCCCCCGCCCCUGCCCCGCCCUCCCCGGGGCCGCCCCCGCCCCCUGGUCGGGAGCGCGGGGCUCUCGGGACGGUCACGGGACCCGCUGCCUUCUCUGCUUCGGCUCCCGGCAGCAGCGGCAAGAGCAAGGACGAGCGAAAUAGGACAUCGUUCAGCGGAUGAGAAGCCGAGGGCUUGGAGUAGGGAGGAGGGGCAGGAGGGGCGGGGAGGGAGCGUUCGCCCAGCGUUCGCUGAGCUAAAGGAUGACGAUGUUGCAGCUGGAGGGGUGGAAGUUGGACAACUGGAGGGUCUUCUCGUUGUUCAAAGAAGGAGGAGGAGGGAGUCAAUUAGACUGUAAGAAGUGGAUGAAAGGAGAAUGGGGGCUUUGCUCCUGAAAAGAGACACCCUCUCUAAUAAAAAAAAAAUGGAAAACUC
Long non-coding RNA from Pan troglodytes (chimpanzee), 5632 nucleotides. RefSeq lists it as uncharacterized. The transcript has 2 exons. NCBI's taxonomy places the organism in Eukaryota, Metazoa, Chordata, Mammalia, Primates, Hominidae. The record is from RefSeq and is a predicted model, not a curated record.